This 415-nucleotide ribosomal RNA is filed under the name Staphylococcus pseudintermedius. Its description in RNAcentral is "partial 23S ribosomal RNA". It matches the Rfam family "Bacterial large subunit ribosomal RNA", at positions 380 to 797 of the family's 2925-position model. Lineage: Bacteria; Bacillati; Bacillota; Bacilli; Caryophanales; Staphylococcaceae. The record is from RNAcentral.
CGAAAACGAAUUCUCUCUUGAGUGGAUCCUGAGUACGACGGAGCACGUGAAAUUCCGUCGGAAUCUGGGAGGACCAUCUCCUAAGGCUAAAUACUCUCUAGUGACCGAUAGUGAACCAGUACCGUGAGGGAAAGGUGAAAAGUACCCCGGAAGGGGAGUGAAAGAGAACUUGAAACCGUGUGCUUACAAGUAGUCAGAGCCCGUUAAUGGGUGAUGGCGUGCCUUUUGUAGAAUGAACCGGCGAGUUACGAUCUGAUGCAAGGUUAAGCAGAAAAUGUGGAGCCGUAGCGAAAGCGAGUCUGAAUAGGGCGAAUGAGUAUUUGGUCGUAGACCCGAAACCAGGUGAUCUACCCUUGGUCAGGUUGAAGUUCAGGUAACACUGAAUGGAGGACCGAACCGACUUACGUUGAAAAGU